RNAcentral lists this ribosomal RNA (101 nucleotides) under uncultured bacterium. RNAcentral describes it as "partial 16S ribosomal RNA". It matches the Rfam family "Bacterial small subunit ribosomal RNA", at positions 1384 to 1482 of the family's 1533-position model. The record is from RNAcentral.
UACACACCGCCCGUCACGCCAUGGGAGUUGGCUUUACCUGAAGGCGGUGCGCUAACCCGCAAGGGAGGCAGCCGACCACGGUAGGGUCAGCGACUGGGGUG